RNAcentral lists this ribosomal RNA (490 nucleotides) under uncultured bacterium. RNAcentral describes it as "bacterial SSU rRNA". It matches the Rfam family "Bacterial small subunit ribosomal RNA", at positions 28 to 507 of the family's 1533-position model. The record is from RNAcentral.
GAUGAACGCUAGCGAUAGGCCUAACACAUGCAAGUCGAGGGGCAUCACAUGAAGUAGCAAUACGGAUGGUGGCGACCGGCGCACGGGUGAGUAACACGUAUGCAACCUGCCUUCAACAAGGGGAUAACCCGUUGAAAGACGGACUAAUACCCUAUAACACAGGGGUCCCGCAUGGGAAUAUUUGUUAAAGGACAACCGGUUGAAGAUGGGCAUGCGUUCCAUUAGCUAGUUGCGGGGUAACGGCCCACCAAGGCAACGAUGGAUAGGGGAACUGAGAGGUUUAUCCCCCACACUGGUACUGAGACACGGACCAGACUCCUACGGGAGGCAGCAGUGAGGAAUAUUGGUCAAUGGACGCAAGUCUGAACCAGCCACGUCGCGUGAAGGAAGACGGCCCUACGGGUUGUAAACUUCUUUUAUACGGGGAAUAAAGUGCCCCACGCGUGGGGUUUUGCAUGUACCGUAUGAAUAAGGAUCGGCUAACUCCGUG